RNAcentral lists this ribosomal RNA (737 nucleotides) under uncultured Frigoribacterium sp. Its description in RNAcentral is "bacterial SSU rRNA". It matches the Rfam family "Bacterial small subunit ribosomal RNA", at positions 771 to 1505 of the family's 1533-position model. The record is from RNAcentral. Lineage: Bacteria; Bacillati; Actinomycetota; Actinomycetes; Micrococcales; Microbacteriaceae.
AACACGGAUUAGAUACCCUGGUAGUCCAUGCCGUAAACGUUGGGAACUAGGUGUGGGUCUCAUUCCACGAGAUCCGUGCCGCAGCUGACGCAUUAAGUUCCCCGCCUGGGGAGUACGGCCGCAAGGCUAAAACUCAAAGGAAUUGACGGGGGCCCGCACAAGCGGCGGAGCAUGCGGAUUAAUUCGAUGCAGCGCGAAGAACCUUACCAAGGCUUGACAUACACCGGAAACAUCCAGAGAUGGGUGCCCCGCAAGGUCGGUGUACAGGUGGUGCAUGGUUGUCGUCAGCUCGUGUCGUGAGAUGUUGGGUUAAGUCCCGCAACGAGCGCAACCCUCGUUCUAUGUUGCCAGCGCGUGAUGGCGGGGACUCAUAGGAGACUGCCGGGGUCAACUCGGAGGAAGGUGGGGAUGACGUCAAAUCAUCAUGCCCCUUAUGUCUUGGGCUUCACGCAUGCUACAAUGGCCGGUACAAAGGGCUGCGAUACCGUAAGGUGGAGCGAAUCCCAAAAAGCCGGUCUCGGUUCGGAUUGAGGUCUGCAACUCGACCUCAUGAAGUCGGAGUCGCUAGUAAUCGCAGAUCAGCAACGCUGCGGUGAAUACGUUCCCGGGCCUUGUACACACCGCCCGUCAAGUCAUGAAAGUCGGUAACACCCGAAGCCGGUGGCCUAACCCUUGUGGAAGGAGCCGUCGAAGGUGGGAUCGGUAAUUAGGACUAAGUCGUAACAAGGUAGCCGUAA